ACGCUAGCUACAGGCUUAACACAUGCAAGUCGAGGGGCAGCAUGGUCUUAGCUUGCUAAGACUGAUGGCGACCGGCGCACGGGUGAGUAACACGUAUCCAACCUGCCGUCUACUCUUGGACAGCCUUCUGAAAGGAAGAUUAAUACAAGAUGGCAUCAUGAGUCCGCAUGUUCACAUGAUUAAAGGUAUUCCGGUAGACGAUGGGGAUGCGUUCCAUUAGAUAGUAGGCGGGGUAACGGCCCACCUAGUCUUCGAUGGAUAGGGGUUCUGAGAGGAAGGUCCCCCACAUUGGAACUGAGACACGGUCCAAACUCCUACGGGAGGCAGCAGUGAGGAAUAUUGGUCAAUGGGCGAGAGCCUGAACCAGCCAAGUAGCGUGAAGGAUGACUGCCCUAUGGGUUGUAAACUUCUUUUAUAAAGGAAUAAAGUCGGGUAUGUAUACCCGUUUGCAUGUACUUUAUGAAUAAGGAUCGGCUAACUCCGUGCCAGCAGCCGCGGUAAUACGGAGGAUCCGAGCGUUAUCCGGAUUUAUUGGGUUUAAAGGGAGCGUAGAUGGAUGUUUAAGUCAGUUGUGAAAGUUUGCGGCUCAACCGUAAAAUUGCAGUUGAUACUGGAUAUCUUGAGUGCAGU
This 630-nucleotide ribosomal RNA is filed under the name uncultured organism. RNAcentral's name for it is "SSU rRNA". It matches the Rfam family "Bacterial small subunit ribosomal RNA", at positions 33 to 652 of the family's 1533-position model. The record is from RNAcentral.